This 1966-nucleotide ribosomal RNA is filed under the name Campylobacter jejuni. Its description in RNAcentral is "partial 23S ribosomal RNA". It matches the Rfam family "Bacterial large subunit ribosomal RNA", at positions 962 to 2925 of the family's 2925-position model. Lineage: Bacteria; Pseudomonadati; Campylobacterota; Epsilonproteobacteria; Campylobacterales; Campylobacteraceae. The record is from RNAcentral.
ACCUUAUAUGUAAUCACAGCAGUCAGGCGGCGAGUGAUAAAAUCCGUCGUCAAGAGGGAAACAACCCAGACUACCAGCUAAGGUCCCUAAAUCUUACUUAAGUGGAAAACGAUGUGAAGUUACUUAAACAACCAGGAGGUUGGCUUAGAAGCAGCCAUCCUUUAAAGAAAGCGUAAUAGCUCACUGGUCUAGUGAUUUUGCGCGGAAAAUAUAACGGGGCUAAAGUAAGUACCGAAGCUGUAGACUUAGUUUACUAAGUGGUAGGAGAGCGUUCUAUUUGCGUCGAAGGUAUACCGGUAAGGAGUGCUGGAGCGAAUAGAAGUGAGCAUGCAGGCAUGAGUAGCGAUAAUUAAUGUGAGAAUCAUUAACGCCGUAAACCCAAGGUUUCCUACGCGAUGCUCGUCAUCGUAGGGUUAGUCGGGUCCUAAGUCGAGUCCGAAAGGGGUAGACGAUGGCAAAUUGGUUAAUAUUCCAAUACCAACAUUAGUGUGCGAUGGAAGGACGCUUAGGGCUAAGGGGGCUAGCGGAUGGAAGUGCUAGUCUAAGGUCGUAGGAGGUUAUACAGGCAAAUCCGUAUAACAAUACUCCGAGAACUGAAAGGCUUUUUGAAGUCUUCGGAUGGAUAGAAGAACCCCUGAUGCCGUCGAGCCAAGAAAAGUUUCUAAGUUUAGCUAAUGUUGCCCGUACCGUAAACCGACACAGGUGGGUGGGAUGAGUAUUCUAAGGCGCGUGGAAGAACUCUCUUUAAGGAACUCUGCAAAAUAGCACCGUAUCUUCGGUAUAAGGUGUGGUUAGCUUUGUAUUAGGAUUUACUCCGAAAGCAAGGAAACUUACAACAAAGAGUCCCUCCCGACUGUUUACCAAAAACACAGCACUCUGCUAACUCGUAAGAGGAUGUAUAGGGUGUGACGCCUGCCCGGUGCUCGAAGGUUAAUUGAUGGGGUUAGCAUUAGCGAAGCUCUUGAUCGAAGCCCGAGUAAACGGCGGCCGUAACUAUAACGGUCCUAAGGUAGCGAAAUUCCUUGUCGGUUAAAUACCGACCUGCAUGAAUGGCGUAACGAGAUGGGAGCUGUCUCAAAGAGGGAUCCAGUGAAAUUGUAGUGGAGGUGAAAAUUCCUCCUACCCGCGGCAAGACGGAAAGACCCCGUGGACCUUUACUACAGCUUGACACUGCUACUUGGAUAAGAAUGUGCAGGAUAGGUGGGAGGCUUUGAGUAUAUGACGCCAGUUGUAUAUGAGCCAUUGUUGAGAUACCACUCUUUCUUAUUUGGGUAGCUAACCAGCUUGAGUUAUCCUCAAGUGGGACAAUGUCUGGUGGGUAGUUUGACUGGGGCGGUCGCCUCCCAAAUAAUAACGGAGGCUUACAAAGGUUGGCUCAGAACGGUUGGAAAUCGUUCGUAGAGUAUAAAGGUAUAAGCCAGCUUAACUGCAAGACAUACAAGUCAAGCAGAGACGAAAGUCGGUCUUAGUGAUCCGGUGGUUCUGUGUGGAAGGGCCAUCGCUCAAAGGAUAAAAGGUACCCCGGGGAUAACAGGCUGAUCUCCCCCAAGAGCUCACAUCGACGGGGAGGUUUGGCACCUCGAUGUCGGCUCAUCGCAUCCUGGGGCUGGAGCAGGUCCCAAGGGUAUGGCUGUUCGCCAUUUAAAGCGGUACGCGAGCUGGGUUCAGAACGUCGUGAGACAGUUCGGUCCCUAUCUGCCGUGGGCGUAAGAAGAUUGAAGAGAUUUGACCCUAGUACGAGAGGACCGGGUUGAACAAACCACUGGUGUAGCUGUUGUUCUGCCAAGAGCAUCGCAGCGUAGCUAAGUUUGGAAAGGAUAAACGCUGAAAGCAUCUAAGCGUGAAGCCAACUCUAAGAUGAAUCUUCUCUAAGCUCUCUAGAAGACUACUAGUUUGAUAGGCUGGGUGUGUAAUGGAUGAAAGUCCUUUAGCUGACCAGUACUAAUAGAGCGUUUGGCUUAUCUUU